CUUACUGGUGUGUUGAUGUGUCAU
RNAcentral lists this non-coding RNA (24 nucleotides) under Arabidopsis thaliana (thale cress). The record is from RNAcentral. Lineage: Eukaryota; Viridiplantae; Streptophyta; Magnoliopsida; Brassicales; Brassicaceae.